This 484-nucleotide ribosomal RNA is filed under the name uncultured bacterium. Its description in RNAcentral is "partial 16S ribosomal RNA". It matches the Rfam family "Bacterial small subunit ribosomal RNA", at positions 30 to 507 of the family's 1533-position model. The record is from RNAcentral.
AUUGAACGCUGGCGGCAGGCCUAACACAUGCAAGUCGAGCGGAUGAAGGGAGCUUGCUCCUGGAUUCAGCGGCGGACGGGUGAGUAAUGCCUAGGAAUCUGCCUGGUAGUGGGGGAUAACGUCCGGAAACGGGCGCUAAUACCGCAUACGGCCUGGGGGAGAAAGUGGGGGAUCUUCGGACCUCACGCUAUCAGAUGAGCCUAGGUCGGAUUAGCUAGUUGGUGGGGUAAAGGCCUACCAAGGCGACGAUCCGUAACUGGUCUGAGAGGAUGAACAGUCACACUGGAACUGAGACAUGGUCAAGACUCCUACGUGAGGCAGCAGUUGCGAAUAUUGGACAAUGCGCGAAACCCUGCUCCAGCCAUGCCGCGUGUGUGAAGAAGGUCUUCGGACUUUAACGCACUCUAAGUUGUGAGGAAGGUCAGUAAGUUAAUACCUUGCUGUUUUGACGUUACCAACAGAAUAAGCACCGGCUAACUUCGUG